Falco peregrinus (peregrine falcon) is the source of this 618-nucleotide long non-coding RNA. RefSeq lists it as uncharacterized. Lineage: Eukaryota; Metazoa; Chordata; Aves; Falconiformes; Falconidae. The record is from RefSeq and is a predicted model, not a curated record. The transcript has 2 exons.
AAUCAUCUUCAGUGCAGUUUUUCUUCUCGGCUCCCCAGCUGCGUGCCUUUCCGUCCUGUAACUCAGCCCACGGGUGCAGCACCAGCGGGAUGCCACAGCGUCUCCCUCUUCCACAUGCUCUGCUGUCUCAUGUUUUAGCCCUUAUCUAGAAUACACAGAGCUCUUGCCCUGCAUAAUCGUUAUACUAAAUACUGGUGUGUGUUUUUUUUUUUUUAUCUCUGUUGAAAAAGUAGGUAUUGCCCUGUAUCUGUAGGGAAAUACUCCCCAUGUGCUUGCUACCCCUAACACCCAAACAUCUCUGACUUUGAAAGCUGGGUGCUGGCAUAAAGUGAGCCCGAUUUCUACCCCAUCGGUAGAGAGGAGGGGAGCUGUGCUGCCUUCAUCGUGGCGGUAUUAAAAUGUGCUGAAAACUGAACGUUGCAAACCUGAUGUGCAGCAUCAAGGCAGCUCAACUGCUCUGCCUGUCUGUGUGCCCCCUCUGCAGCUACAGAUCUGAGGAUACCAUGAGGAAGAAGUAUCAAGUGAACUUUAACUUGAGGGUUGCCUGGACAGGGACGCCUGGGACAACUGAUGCUGUGCGAUAAGAGACAUGAUAUUAAAAAUAUGUUUAAAACAUGA